RNAcentral lists this ribosomal RNA (465 nucleotides) under uncultured soil bacterium. Its description in RNAcentral is "bacterial SSU rRNA". It matches the Rfam family "Bacterial small subunit ribosomal RNA", at positions 26 to 522 of the family's 1533-position model. The record is from RNAcentral.
AGAACGAACGCUGGCGGCAGGAUUAACACAUGCAAGUCGAACGCUCCGCAAGGAGAGUGGCAGACGGGUGAGUAACGCGUGGGAAUCUACCUAGUUCUACGGAACAACAGUUGGAAACGACUGCUAAUACCGUAUACGCCCUACGGGGGAAAGAUUUAUCGGAAUUAGAUGAGCCCGCGUAAGAUUAGCUAGUUGGUGGGGUAAUGGCCUACCAAGGCGACGAUCUUUAGCUGGUCUGAGAGGAUGAUCAGCCACACUGGGACUGAGACACGGCCCAGACUCCUACGGGAGCAGCAGUGGGGAAUAGUUGGACAACGGGCGCAAGCCUGAUCCAGCCAUGCCGCGUGAGUGAUGAAGGUCCGUUAGGGUUGUAAAGCUUCGUUUCGAGGUGGGGAAGAUAAGUAGACCGGUACCAACGAGAACGAACGCCCCGGCUUAAACCGUUCCGACGCCAGCCACGCCGAC